UGGAUCCAGACUUUGAUCCUGGCUCAGGAUGAACGCUAGCUACAGGCUUAACACAUGCAAGUCGAGGGGAAACGACAUCGAAUGCUUGCUUUUGAUGGGCGUCGACCGGCGCACGGGUGAGUAACGCGUAUCCAACCUGCCCACCACUUGGGGAUAACCUUGCGAAAGUAAGACUAAUACCCAAUGAUAUCUCUAGAAGACAUCUGAAAGAGAUUAAAGAUUUAUCGGUGAUGGAUGGGGAUGCGUCUGAUUAGCUUGUUGGCGGGGUAACGGCCCACCAAGGCAACGAUCAGUAGGGGUUCUGAGAGGAAGGUCCCCCACAUUGGAACUGAGACACGGUCCAAACUCCUACGGGAGGCAGCAGUGAGGAAUAUUGGUCAAUGGACGAGAGUCUGAACCAGCCAAGUAGCGUGCAGGAUGACGGCCCUAUGGGUUGUAAACUGCUUUUAUAAGGGAAUAAAGUGAGUCUCGUGAGACUUUUUGCAUGUACCUUAUGAAUAAGGACCGGCUAAUUCCGUGCCAGCAGCCGCGGUAAUACGGAAGGUCCGGGCGUUAUCCGGAUUUAUUGGGUUUAAAGGGAGCGUAGGCCGGAGAUUAAGCGUGUUGUGAAAUGUAGACGCUCAACGUCUGCACUGCAGCGCGAACUGGUUUCCUUGAGUACGCACAAAGUGGGCGGAAUUCGUGGUGUAGCGGUGAAAUGCUUAGAUAUCACGAAGAACUCCGAUUGCGAAGGCAGCUCACUGGAGCGCAACUGACGCUGAAGCUCGAAAGUGCGGGUAUCGAACAGGAUUAGAUACCCUGGUAGUCCGCACGGUAAACGAUGGAUGCCCGCUGUUGGUCUGAAUAGGUCAGCGGCCAAGCGAAAGCAUUAAGCAUCCCACCUGGGGAGUACGCCGG
This 897-nucleotide ribosomal RNA is filed under the name uncultured Bacteroidota bacterium. Its description in RNAcentral is "bacterial SSU rRNA". It matches the Rfam family "Bacterial small subunit ribosomal RNA", at positions 1 to 888 of the family's 1533-position model. Lineage: Bacteria; Pseudomonadati; Bacteroidota. The record is from RNAcentral.